This 516-nucleotide ribosomal RNA is filed under the name uncultured bacterium. RNAcentral describes it as "bacterial SSU rRNA". It matches the Rfam family "Bacterial small subunit ribosomal RNA", at positions 1 to 517 of the family's 1533-position model. The record is from RNAcentral.
UUAGAGUUUGAUCCUGGCUCAGGAUGAACGCUAGCGGCAGGCCUAACACAUGCAAGUCGAGGGAUAACAGGGAAGUUCGCUUCCGCUGACGACCGGCGCACGGGUGAGUAUCGCGUUUGUAACCUACCUUUAACUGGAAGAUAGCCCGAAGAAAUUCGGAUUAAUAUUCCAUAAGACUAUAGUUUGGCAUCAUUUUAUAGUUAAAGCUCCGGCGGUUAAAGAUGGGCAUGCGUAACAUUAGCUUGUUGGUGAGGUAACGGCUCACCAAGGCUACGAUGUUUAGGGGGUCUGAGAGGAUGGUCCCCCACACUGGUACUGAGACACGGACCAGACUCCUACGGGAGGCAGCAGUGAGGAAUAUUGGUCAAUGGGCGAAAGCCUGAACCAGCCAUGCCGCGUGAAGGAUGACGGCCCUAUGGGUUGUAAACUUCUUUUAUACGGGAAGAAACCCCUCUACGUGUAGAGGGUUGACGGUACCGUACGAAUAAGCAUCGGCUAACUCCGUGCCAGCAGCCG